Molecule: long non-coding RNA, 1862 nt
Organism: Mesoplodon densirostris (Blainville's beaked whale)
Lineage: Eukaryota; Metazoa; Chordata; Mammalia; Artiodactyla; Ziphiidae
Exons: 3
Source: RefSeq, a predicted model, not a curated record
CGGUUCCUAAAACUCCCGAAGAACGACCCUGUCCAGACAAUUUCAGCACGAGAGUCGGGUUUGGGCUCUGGCCGCGGAGACCCGCUCGGGAGAGAGAGUGCGGAGCCCCGGCGGGAUUUAAUUCCGGGUCAUUUCGCACCCACACCGGAGGCCCCGGGACAGGGCGUCCCCCAGACGCCCGGCCGGCGCUCGCAGCUCGCGCCCUCUGUCCCGUUCAAAUCCCCCAGCCGCGACCCCAGGACAGGCCGACGAGAAUACUACUCACGUGUCCUCCAAGUGCUGCUCUAAAGUUGCCUCCAUCCCGCCGCGAGUCGUCUCCUUCUUCGCCGCUGGUCUCGGGUGCCCCUCGGUCGUUCACAUGACGCGAGCGGGCCGUGGGCAGGAACGGUGCCUCCAAAGGGACAAACUUCGCGGCGCAGCCUUCGCGUUGUGUCCAGGAUGACAUCUUUACGCGCCCGCCGCCGCGAGCCGGGCGGAGGUUCUGCUGCCUGUGCAACGGGCGAGGGGACGGCGCGGAAUGCCGCCGCGGGAGGGAGGUCUGCAGUCGUCCCUCGGAGCCGGCCUCCUGGCCUGUCCCUUUGUCUCCUCCAUACAGACCUUUGGAUUCCAAUUCCACCGACUCCAAGAAGUCGGGCCAGACCCUGUUGAAGUUUUACAAUAACCCGGCCGGUCCGACGGGGUCUCAUCCAGGCGGUGGGGCAGAGAGAGACAAGAGAGACACAGGACCCCGAUGAAGGGUCCCCAGGCUUGUAGGGCAAAAGACUGGACACAGGGACUAGAGGACGAGAUGGAACAAUGCUAAUAGCAUCUACCAACUUAGCGAAGUGUUACUGGUCCUUACUUCAGAGUAGAGAACGUCGUGAAGACAAGAUGACCCACCUCGUUCUGCACAUCCUGCCAUGAAGAGCAGAGCGAGAAGCUUUUUUGUUGGCUGCCACCGUCUCUCUUGGAAUCUGAAUUUAGCUUCGGGAGCUUACCUAUUGUUACAACACUGAAUUACCCUCUUGUAAGACCUUGGACAAGUCCUCUAAUGCCUUGAUAUCUCAGAUGUUUUUCAAUUCUCCCUGAAGAUAAGAAUAGUAUCCACCUCAUAGCGGUGGUGUGGGAACUCCAUGGGACGAUGCAUGUGAAGCGCCUCACACAGUCUCUGGGGCCACCGCAGACAGCGAACAGGUGAGAGCUGCUAUUCUUGCCAGGACCUCAGGAAGUGAUAGCUGAGGCAAAGUUGAACUAGACUGUCAUUCAGGGCUCUUAGCUGCAAGCAACAGAAGCUGACUUUGGCUUAGAGAGUAGGAAAGGAAAUUUUAAAAUGACACUGGGUAGCUCACGGUUACCCAAUUGUUGGGAGGGCUGGAGAGCUCAGUCUAAGCUUCCAAUGACAAAGCUCCGAGCCCACCAUGCCACCCCUGCCACUGGUCUUGUGGCAGCCCACAACAGCUUGCGGCACCAAGGCCAUUACUGUGGCAGGAACCUAACCCUAUGCCCGCUACGCCCCCGAAGCCAGACCCCCUCUGCUGCUGCCCUUGCCAGCAAAGUGGAGUUUUCCCAGAGCCUCUGAAUUGAAGUCUUGUGUGGAAAGAACGUGUGUGCAAAUAGAAAACAGAAAAUGUAGAAACGUAUGAAGACGAAAGAACCACCAAGACAAAUAAACCAAACCCAGGGUCAUUAGCAGUUCCUCCUUGCCAAGAUAAAAUGUGAACAUUUUAGUUCCUUUCUUUUCCAUCUUGUUCUUUUUGUGUGUCCAUGCAUUCACACACACACACACACACACACACACACACACGUGUAAAAUGGGGAUUACAUUGUAUAUUCUUUUUUGUUUCCAGCUUUUUCCACUUAGCCAUAUAAUGUUAACAUUUCCC